This 72-nucleotide transfer RNA is filed under the name Fukomys damarensis (Damara mole-rat). It matches the Rfam family "tRNA". Rfam says of the family: Transfer RNA (tRNA) molecules are approximately 80 nucleotides in length. Their secondary structure includes four short double-helical elements and three loops (D, anti-codon, and T loops). The record is from Rfam by way of RNAcentral. Lineage: Eukaryota; Metazoa; Chordata; Mammalia; Rodentia; Bathyergidae.
GGGGAAGUAGCUCAGUAAUAGAGCACUGCCCUUCCAUGAGUGAGGCCCUGGGUUUGAGCCCCGGCAUCUCCA